GUGAAUCAUCAAAUUUUUGAACGCAAAUUGCACUCUCUGGUAUUCCGGAGAGUAUGCCUGUUUGAGGGUCAGUUUAUAUAAAAAUCGGUGUGGUUGCUGCCUUUCUUGGUGACUCACCGGAUUUGGGUCGUCUUGCCUUCGGUUAAGUUACUUAAAAUCUUUCAUGAUUUUUUUCGUACGUAUUUAAAUGAUUUUACGUACGCUUGCGUUAUCGUGUACUAGUUGCGGUCAUCCUCAU
RNAcentral lists this unclassified non-coding RNA (238 nucleotides) under Glomeraceae sp. RNAcentral's name for it is "partial contains 5.8S ribosomal RNA and internal transcribed spacer 2". The stretch from base 1 to 71 matches the Rfam family "5.8S ribosomal RNA", at positions 84 to 154 of the family's 154-position model. Lineage: Eukaryota; Fungi; Glomeromycota; Glomeromycetes; Glomerales; Glomeraceae. The record is from RNAcentral.